AGAGUUUGAUCCUGGCUCAGGAUGAACGCUGGCGGCGUGCUUAACACAUGCAAGUCGAACGAUUAACCCGCCCUCGGGCGGUUAUAGAGUGGCGAACGGGUGAGUAACGCGUGAGCAACCUGCCCCUUGCUCCGGGACAACCCAGGGAAACCUCGGCUAAUACCGGAUACUCCGCGCAGCCCGCAUGGGAGGCGCGGGAAAGCCCAGACGGCAAGGGAUGGGGUCGCGGCCCAUUAGGUAGACGGCGGGGUAACGGCCCACCGUGCCCGCGAUGGGUAGCCGGGUUGAGAGACCGAUCGGCCACAUUGGGACUGAGAUACGGCCCAGACUCCUACGGGAGGCAGCAGUGGGGAAUUUUGCGCAAUGGGGGAAACCCUGACGCAGCAACGCCGCGUGCGGGACGAAGGCCUUCGGGUUGUAAACCGCUUUCAGCAGGGAAUAUAGUGAAGGUACCUGCAGAAGAAGCUCCGGCUAACUACGUGCCAGCAGCCGCGGUAAUACGUAGGGAGCGAGCGUUAUCCGGAUUCAUUGGGCGUAAAGCGCGCGUAGGCGGCCCGUCAAGCGGGGUUUCAAAUCCAGGGGCUCAACCUCUGGCCGGACCCCGAACUGGCGGGCUCGAGUGCGGUAGAGGAAGGUGGAAUUCCCAGUGUAGCGGUGAAAUGCGCAGAUAUUGGGAAGAACACCGAUGGCGAAGGCAGCCUUCUGGGCCGCCACUGACGCUGAGGCGCGAAAGCUAGGGGAGCGAACAGGAUUAGAUACCCUGGUAGUCCUAGCCGUAAACGAUGG
This 786-nucleotide ribosomal RNA is filed under the name human gut metagenome. RNAcentral's name for it is "bacterial SSU rRNA". It matches the Rfam family "Bacterial small subunit ribosomal RNA", at positions 8 to 812 of the family's 1533-position model. The record is from RNAcentral.